Molecule: ribosomal RNA, 447 nt
Filed under: uncultured bacterium
Lineage: Bacteria
Description: bacterial SSU rRNA
Rfam family: Bacterial small subunit ribosomal RNA
Source: RNAcentral
UGCCAGACUCCUACGGGAGGCAGCAGUGGGGAAUAUUGCACAAUGGGGGAAACCCUGAUGCAGCGACGCCGCGUGAGCGAUGAAGUAUUUCGGUAUGUAAAGCUCUAUCAGCAGGGAAGAAGAUGACGGUACCUGACUAAGAAGCCCCGGCUAACUACGUGCCAGCAGCCGCGGUAAUACGUAGGGGGCAAGCGUUAUCCGGAUUUACUGGGUGUAAAGGGAGCGUAGACGGCGAUGCAAGCCAGAUGUGAAAGCCCGGGGCUCAACCCCGGGACUGCAUUUGGAACUGUGUGGCUGGAGUGUCGGAGAGGCAGGCGGAAUUCCUAGUGUAGCGGUGAAAUGCGUAGAUAUUAGGAGGAACACCAGUGGCGAAGGCGGCCUGCUGGACGAUGACUGACGUUGAGGCUCGAAAGCGUGGGGAGCAAACAGGAUUAGAUACCCUCGUAA